This 124-nucleotide ribosomal RNA is filed under the name Mastacembelus armatus (zig-zag eel). The record is from RNAcentral. Lineage: Eukaryota; Metazoa; Chordata; Actinopteri; Synbranchiformes; Mastacembelidae.
CAGACAGGUUCUAAGAACCAUGAAAAGGUUUCUCCAGUCCCGUCAGAUCUUGGAAGUUAAGCAGGGCUGUGUCUGCUUAGUACUUGGGUGGGAGAGCACCUUGGAACACCAGGGGCCUGUUAGA